This is a long non-coding RNA of Meriones unguiculatus (Mongolian gerbil), 3601 nucleotides long. RefSeq lists it as uncharacterized. NCBI's taxonomy places the organism in Eukaryota, Metazoa, Chordata, Mammalia, Rodentia, Muridae. The transcript has 5 exons. The record is from RefSeq and is a predicted model, not a curated record.
CAGUAAACGGAGCCCUCAAGUCUGUUUUGCCACCUCCGGUGUCCCCGCCCUGUCUGGAGUCUGCACUUCCAGCUCUUCCCUGUGGUCAGCUCUUCUCCAGGUACUCAGAACCCAGAGAUAGCAGGACUUGAGACCCAUCACCACCCUGCAGGGUCAGCGGCGCCCCUUCUUCAGUGGAGAAUUGAAGUUCAUGCAGCACCUUACUUAGGAGCAAGGGGCUCCGUGCCAUCCUUUGAAUGGAAGAGAUUGGACAUCAUUUCCUGAACAGAAUCGCCUUGGGAUAUUCCCUCUUGCCCAUUCCCUGCUGUAACUUUGUCUCAAAGAGCCCCCCAAGUUCACUUAGGUGGUUUUGAAAAAAAAGAUGCGCAGGGCCUUGUGUUUGCCAACCAGCUUUUGGAUCAGAACAUAUUUCGGGUUCUGUGCUUUUAUUGAAAACUGGAUGGUAGCGAGUGAAAGACUCAGCUAGAGAAAGAAGAGGAACUAGAAGCCCGGAGAUCCUGCCGAUGUAGGUUUCUUUCUUUUUUCUUUUUUUCUGUACAGUAGAAGUUGUGCUGUAGUUCCUAUGACAAUUUACUGUGACCUUAAGACAGGGAUCCCCCUGGCUAUUGCACAGCUGGGCCCACUAAACAUAGUAUAUAUAAUCAGUGAUGAAGUCAGAGACCAGUCACAAGACACUGCUUAGAAUCCAUUUGCUGGAAGUGUGUCUUGCCUCGACUGGAGAGCAGGAAACCUUUGCUAACGGAAAAACGGAAAGUAAACUUUUGCCAGGACGGUUUCUUGCCUUAUUUUAAUCCCCGACUCUUCUUUAUACUCCAGGCACAAGUUCAGGAAAGCUUUACUGAGAUUAUUCCGCUUCCCAAGUAUUGGAAAGGCUGGAUGCCUGCGGGUUCCUCGUCCAAACUCCUCGCGAAAUCUCUGUGGAAAGAGACAGAAAAGUACAAGUGAUGCUACGUAGAGAUGGCGCUAGGACCCUUUGCAGGAGGGACGCGCGCCACUCCCCAGAUGUCUCCUCAAGAGCAUCUUCUCUCAAGGGUAGAUCGAGUGGUCACCAGUUGAGUUGGAAGCUGGCUGACUGAUCGUGAGAAAAUAUAGUAUUGGGGAGCUUGGAGGGGGGUGUUGAAAGUAGUGGAAGGGAAGAGGAUUUUGAGCAACAGAAGAAACUUAAGUUGGUAGGAGCUGAAGCAACGCUAUUCUAUUCUUUGUCUGAGUAGCAACGCCGCCAAGGCAAGCUUUAAGCAGCAGCCAUGCGGAAUGCAGGACCGAACAUCAGUCUGGAAGCAUGGGUGCAGUCUGAGUUUCUUGAGUGAGUCAGCUUUGGCUCCUCUGUGGGAGAACCGGGCAGAAUCACUUCUCGAGCUUCUUGUUGGGUUCGGGGAUGAUGGAUCCCUUGACACUACCUCCCGGAGUGAGUUACCGCACGCUGUACGCUCUGCAGCUCGAGGAAGAGCACUGCUGUCUGAGUUCAGCGCCGCUUUCCUUCCUGUGCCCUGGGAGACUAGCCUGGGAAGCCGAGGUGAAGGAGGAGUGAAUGCGGAGAAAUGCUAAGCAAUGAAGAAUUAAGAAUACAAUUUACUCGGGUUUGAUAUGCUAGGAUGUGUUUUGGACAUGGACAUUUCCGCAGCGGUUCAAGUAUGGACUAUUAAGCUGGUUUUGAACUUGGUGCUAUCUAAGCAUUUUCUCCUGGUCAUAAGGUUUGGUGCUUUUCUGAGCUGUAAUUGUUCUUUCUUUAAUAAGCGACUGUUGUGGAUACUGAAGCUGGGCUGAGGAUUUUAAUGAACCAUUUCCAACAGAUGCAAUACUUUCAUUGUAUAGGCAUUUCAAUUAACAAAAUUGGGUGUGUAUUACAAAGAUCAAAUGAACCUCUUGGUCAAAGAAAAUUUCAGUAGUUAAGCAGAUUCCUCUCAGGAAAGGUUCUGGACUGGGAUGUUCUUCCUGGCUGCUGUUGAAAUGCAAACUGCUACUAAUGCCUCUUUUAAAAAACUAAAGUGAGUCAUUUACAUAUACACAAAGUGGUUUGUUCCAAAGGUGCCUCAUAGUGGCUGAGACUUCAAGGAAAGGAGUCUGAGUCUGAGGUUUCAGGAUUGUGAGAACUGAUAAUCAAGACCACAGUAUUCUUGACAAACGUUUCAGCACCUGCAAGCAACUUGAAAAACUACAUCUUUACUACCUGCCUUCAGUAAACAGUCACCCCCUCCUGGGAAAAUAAAACUUCUGCUAUAUCCUGGGUUUUUGAAAAAAAAAAAAAAGCACACCUGUUGUUCUCUAUGCACAAUGAAAGAAAAUAAAAGCUUCACUUUUUUGCUUCCCCAUUUCACUUCAGUGAGAAAAAGAACAAGAAAAGCCAACCUCUGGUUUAGGAGACUUACACCAUUCCCUACACAAAAUGUUAAACAUAUAAACACCUAUCUACAGAAUUGAGAAAAAGAGUUGAAACUCAAAAGCAUGGUCAGAUUUGACAGCUUUCAACUUCAGAUUGUAACGACUGCAGCCAUCCAGGGUGUUUCUUCACAUUCUUUGAAAAGUGAAAGUGGUCUUCUGCAUAGAUGGUGUCUUUCCUUUAACAGAGCCUGACUUGUCAUUAAGAUUAUUGUAAUUUCAUAAGUGUUUAUUCCCCCAGGAGCAAAGUGUUUAUCCUGGUUAUUUAUAGCUUUGUUAUAGAUUAAAGUACUAACGUAACUUUCCUACAGCGUGGUGUAAAGGAAAGCAAGGAUGGUGACCUGUGUUCCUUGAUGCCUAAAAACAGGAGUGCCCCUCUCCUCAUCUCAACACUCUCAUCGAUGGCCUCUGAAAGACUCUACUGAUUGAGAUUUCAUUGAUGUCUGUGAUGAAAACAAAUGAAGGGCACAAAUGUCAAGCACCUUAAAUCUGGGAGCCAUUGACAAGAAGAACAGCCAGAAAAAUCAAGAGGGAAAGUGAUUUGAUGAGCGUACAAACUCUAUUUUCUUUAGCAUGUAACUUGUUAGAGUUAUCAGAACUUGGCAGGAUAUAUAUAUAACCCUCAACACAAUGAGUUAAUCAGCUGAAGAAUAGAAGAAGAACGAGAGAGUUCAGAGGAGUUUGAACGGUAUAAGCAAGAGCACCGUAUGACAUUAGAAUCCACCAGAAACCAAGCCAUUUGCAUUUCCUGACAUGUGACUGCCACAGCCAUUUGGUGAUUGACUUGAUGGACAGCAGUUAUAUCAUCCAGCUCCCAAAGAACAUGCAGUGUCAAUGUCACUGUUCUGACAAACAGAACAAAAUUUUUCCUUUUCUGAAGAAAAAUUGAGAAGUGUAUGUGUGUAUGGCUCUCACAUCAUCAAAUAUAGCUAAUAACACUCAAGAGGCAAAACAGGAAGAUCUCUGUGAUUUUUGAAGCCAGAGUUUUCUGCAGAACAAGUUCCAGGGCAGCCAAGUCCACACAAAAACCCUGUUUCAGAAGAAAAAAAAAAAAGAAGAAGAAGAAGAAGAUGAAAAAGAAGGAGGAAGAAAGACAAAAAGAAGGAAAGAAAGAGAGAUGAAAUUUAUUUGUUUAAGUCACCCAAACUAAAAUAUGUUAUUUUAUUGAGAUGAGUUGACUAAUAAACUUCAGUUUUAACACUUCUAUUUAAAAAAAAAAUUAUGA